GAGACUCCACCACCUCCCUGGGCAGCCUGUUCCAGUGCUCCGUCACCCUCACUGUAAAGAAGUUAAAGGUGUCUCUGGACACGGAGGGGAUGCACCUCCUGUCCUCCAGGCUCAGCAGCCCCAGCUUCCUCAGGCUUUUCUCAUUAUGGUGAGGUGCUCCAUCCCUAUCAUAAAGAGUUCACAACAACUGGGCAAAAAAAAACCCAUCUCUUCCAAUUCUGACUUCUGGGAAGUCCAUCUAUUGGAGUCCUCCAUUGUGUCAGUGCUUUUCUUCUUAUGAAUUAAGUUUUUUGCAUUAAUUGUUCUAAACGGUGGAGGAGCCUCCAAUGGAAUGUACUUCUCUGAAUCUGUCACUGCUCAGGAAUAAUGGAUCUCUUGGCAGAAAGCUGCAGGUUAUUCCUUGAACUUCAUUAAACAUUUAACCUAUAAGUAUUGUAUAUUUUGCCUAUAAUCACGCUAAACAUACACAUUUUGCCUGCGUAUCACACUGCUCAUGUAGCUUCCCUCAAGCACAAGACUUUCACCGUGAUUUUAAGUACGUGAGAAAUGAAAAUGAAAUGUUUUGUCUUCCUAGCUCGAAGAACAGCGAGGUGAGUGAUUUGCAUACCCAUUUCAGUUCACAAUUAAUUCUAAUUGGGAGUAGCAGGAAAAUUGAGAGCAAAGAAGCCUCUCCACUUUUAAGGCAGCAACUAUCAAAAACAAACAAGCAUUUGGGCCAACUUUCUUUCAUCUAAGCACUUAAGUUUCGUAAGUUCUGUGAUGGGGAAAUGCUUUAGUGCCACCUGGGAACUUAAACUCCAGCUCAGCCCAUGCUGCUUUUCAGUUACAAUGCUGUCUGUUAGCAAAGUCAAGCAGGGCUUGUGCAGAGGGAUAUGGGAAAGCUCACUAGACUUUUCAGCUGUAAGUAGCAGCUCUCAGGUACAGAUCUUAGAAAUGGUAAUUUCCUGACUAAAGGAACUCAUGCCUGCAUGACAAGGACAAAACAACUGACUUGAGCAGCAAGACAUUGCUCUAAUAAAUGAGCCUCCUUUUCAAAGCAAAUCCUAUUCAUGAAAUAAUUUAUGGGAAAACAAUACAAACUGACAGUGCAGUGUUUUAGGUGGAAAUAACUUCAGUGCAAGUGGGGUAUUGUUGUCACCGAUGAUUGAAAAGUUUAGGCAUUAGUGGCUCUUUUGCAGAACUGCAAUAAAAACAAUGAACCUCAAAGCUAAAUUAUGAGUUCAGAAAUUGUUGUUUUGAGCUUAAUUAGGUAUGUAUAAUACUGUGACAUGUGUCGAUGGGAUGGAAAUCUACUUGUCAAUCUAUCAAACAGUCCUCAGGAACUGACAAGGUGACCUAUUUUACCACCAUAACUACUUUGAAAAAAUCAUACUGAAUUCUUAUGAAUAAAUGUACCACUGAUAAAUCAUUUAGUUUCCUGUUAAACUGCAACAGCACCAUGGAAAUAACUGCUUUUAACAAGAUCCUCAGGUUUCCGGGCUGUCUCCCAGCUGAAAGGAGAAACCUGACUUUUCCUGAUAUCUGAUGUUACAGGUUCUCAAACUGAUCCUUGCCACACAGAGUUCAGUUCCCAGGAUCCCUCCCACUUGCCCUCGUUUUUGGAAGCCCCAAGAAGAGAGGCAUUACACUGAGCGGAGGCAUUGCAGAGUCAGCUGGGUGCCUUGUCAAGGUACUGGAGAGAAAGCAGCUCAGCAAAUGCAUGGCAGAAGAACCUGCAUCAUCCUGAUUCAUCCAACUGAUCUUCUGAAGUAACAUCUGGAUUGAAUACAAGAUUACUCAAGAGUUCAGAUUGAAAUGCUACUUAGAGCUUAAAGACAAAUAAUAGAGACUACUACUAAUUGCAGAGUUCCAGAAAGCAAUGAGUUACACUGAGUGUGACACUGAGCAGGUUGGGCUCGAUGUCUGUGUGCGCUGGAGUUGCAUCUGCUUUGAGAUGGGGAACUGGAAGGAGAGGAAUACUAGAGAACCUGAGCAGAGCCAGGCCUCCUCUGACAACCACCUUAGGUAUUUCCUUUAACUAUUUAAUCAAGUUGAUAAAUAAACACUGUUACAUUGUUUGCCCCUGUCCUUCCCACUGGAAAACUGUUUUUGAGCCUCAUUAGUUUGUUCCUUUAACUCAGAACUUAAUUCACAUGUUUUUUAAAUAUCUUCCGUUAUCAACAUCUUUCAAUACAACUAUAGUAGAUGAUUUUAUUCUAGUAUUUACUGAGCAGGAAUGUAUGGUAAAACGUGUGGUAGGAGGAUCUUGCCUUGCAGCUAGGUGGCUCCUUCCUGUGCUGUUGUUGUAGUUAUGACAAAUUGCCUUGAGCAGAAAGCACUACAAGUAAUUAAUCUAGUAGGAAUGGCUUUUAGCUGUAGUCACUGAACUUUGGUGUACAGAAAUAAGAAAUUUGCCAAAAAGAACUGCACAAAAUAAUGAAAAUAGUUCACCGGUUUGGGUGAAAUAAACUAUUGU
Coturnix japonica (Japanese quail) is the source of this 2455-nucleotide non-coding RNA. The record is from RefSeq and is a predicted model, not a curated record. NCBI's taxonomy places the organism in Eukaryota, Metazoa, Chordata, Aves, Galliformes, Phasianidae.